Molecule: ribosomal RNA, 253 nt
Filed under: uncultured bacterium
Lineage: Bacteria
Description: partial 16S ribosomal RNA
Rfam family: Bacterial small subunit ribosomal RNA
Source: RNAcentral
UACGUAGGGGGCAAGCGUUGUCCGGAAUCAUUGGGCGUAAAGAGCGCGUAGGCGGUCCGGUAAGUCCGCUGUGAAAGUCAAGGGCUCAACCCUUGAAUGCCGGUGGAUACUGUCGGGCUAGAGUCCGGAAGAGGCGAGUGGAAUUCCUGGUGUAGCGGCGAAAUGCGCAGAUAUCAGGAGGAACACCAAUGGCGAAGGCAGCUCGCUGGGACGGUACUGACGCUGAGGCGCGAAAGCGUGGGGAGCAAACAGG